This 242-nucleotide ribosomal RNA is filed under the name uncultured Bacteroidota bacterium. RNAcentral describes it as "uncultured Bacteroidetes bacterium partial 16S ribosomal RNA". It matches the Rfam family "Bacterial small subunit ribosomal RNA", at positions 796 to 1041 of the family's 1533-position model. Lineage: Bacteria; Pseudomonadati; Bacteroidota. The record is from RNAcentral.
CACGCCGUAAACGAUGUUCACUCGCUGUUUGCGAUAUACAGUAAGCGGCUAAGCGAAAGCAUUAAGUGAACCACCUGGGGAGUACGAUCGCAAGGUUGAAACUCAAAGGAAUUGACGGGGGCCCGCACAAGCGGAGGAACAUGUGGUUUAAUUCGAUGAUACGCGAGGAACCUUACCUGGGCUUAAAUGUAGAUUGCAUGAAUCGGAGACGGUUCUUUCCUUCGGGACUAUUUACAAGGUGC